GCGAAACGGUCCUGUAAGCAGUAGAGUAGCCUUGUUGUUACGAUCUGCUGAGGGUAAGCCGUCCUUCGCCUCGAUUUCCCCAAUGGGUUCUCCGGAUUUCUGGAGACUUGUAGGGGUUGUGAGAUUUUUGAUGUGUCGUCUCCGGACGGGCGGUGCAGGGUAGUCGAGUUAGACUUGGUGGAAUUCCGUCGAUAGGAGUUCCGUCGAGUCUGGUCGGCUGUGUGUUGGACGGUGCAGGGUAGGCUGCUUGGACAUGGUCGGUUCGAGGAUCGAUUCGAGGGCCGGCCUGUCGAUGAUGUGUGAUGUAUGCGGUCUAGGGUAGGCUGGUUUGUCUUGGUCCAAUUUGAUGUCGGCUCCCGUGCAGGCCAGAGUGAGGGGGUACAGGGUAGGCAGCUUAGAUUUGGUCGAUCUGGAGGUCGAUUCUCCGGCUGGCGGAUCUGACACUGUCGAAACGAGAUGCGAGCGGUGUAGGGUAGGCUAGUUUCGUCCUCGCCGGGUUGCGAUUUGGACGAGAUAUGUGGUCUAGGGUAGGCUCUAGGGUAAGUAGAAUUCGAGUUUCGUCGCCGACAGUUUUCUGUGGGUGUGUGGUAGGUACAGGGUAGGCAAAUCUCCCUCCGGCCAGUACUUGUCUGGUGGUCGUGAGUCGAUUUUUUUGUUUUGCCAUACUAUUGAAUUUUGCGGAAAUUCAAAAGUGGCUCGGGAGUCCCGCCUGGCGUGCGUCCGACUCGAACGUCGUCGGUGUACAUAUGAGAGGGAGUAAUCCGGCCCGGCCGGGGCCCAUCGCGAGGUGCCGGGUAGGUAAAAGUAAAAAAGUUGUUAAGAGGCGCGGUGUCGGCGUGCUUGUAUUUGCGGGAGAGAAUUAUCUGGAGGUGCUGGGUAGCCGGGAAGACUUGGACGGAUCUGGCCCGGGAAUGGGUCUGGGCCUGGAUUCUGGUGUGGUGUAGGGUAGGCGUAGAUAGAUGAGUGGUCUAGGGUAGAUACAGGGUAGCCAGGAGUCUAGUAUAUAGUAUGGGGGUGUAGGGUAGGUCUGGACACUGUUUUCCGCUUUGCCCUUCCCUUUGCUCAAGGGGAGGACGAUCUUGGCUGGGACGGCGGUGUAGGGUAGGCUUAAUUAGCGAUUACAUGAUCUGUGUCACUCUAGGGUAGGUGAAAAUCCCAUAUAUAUCUGAUCACAUUUGGUGAAGAGGUGGUUUGGCUCGUGAGAUGGACAAAAGUGCAAUGUAGAAUUAUAUGUGAUUUUGCAAAAGUGGGUGUGAAAUUGGGAAAUCGGGUUUCCCGCACAGAUGAGAGCACGUUUGAGAUGCCAUGAGAUGCACCUCUCCGAGACGACCUCAACGGUACCACCCAUGUGUUGGUCGGGCUCCUGUGCGGCCGUCCAGGGCGGGAUAAGUAGAGAAUGUGGUGGUGUAGGGUAGGUGACCAGGUCCAGGGUAGGUUCGCCAAAUCCGUCAAUCCGGCUUGAAUCGAAGGACAGGUCUAGGGUAGGCCAGAGUCGGGUCUAGGGUAGGCAACCCUCACCCUCGAAGUGGUCUACCCGGUAGCCAACUUCAAUCGCCUCUCACGGCCGCCACGGACCUCGAAUGACGAUGGGACUACCACCACCGGACUCGCCUUGGUCGAAAUAGCUGGUAUAUGCACUUUUGAAAAAAUGCGUGCAAAAUGGUUUUGUGGUUUGGUGGCCGUGAGUCGAUUUUUUUGUUUUCCCAUACAAAUGAAUUUUGCGGAAAAUAAAAAGUGGCCCACGAGGCAGUCCUGGCGUGCGGCCCACUAAAACGGUCUCGGAGGGUAUAUGAGAAGGGAGCAAAUCCGGCCGAGCCUGAAAGGGUGAGGACAAACCGGGCGAGCAACCUCUCAGUAUCAGAUCUUGCAGACUUCCACUGCGUGUCCCUCUGUACAGCUUUGCAGGCUCCGGCCUCGGCAGCGGGGGGUUCAUAGUGGUCGUCGACCUCCACGAAACUGCACGCUCCGGCGUGACAGCGUACUGGGGAUGCCUGUGUAGAUGCAGUCCGGGCUUGCCUGGACCGCUAGCAGAUGGGCUCUGUGGAUGACUGGCCGCUGGCUAGACCUGAAACCUGAGCAACGGGAGGUAACCUCUCGCCGCGGA
RNAcentral lists this unclassified non-coding RNA (2104 nucleotides) under Fusarium oxysporum. RNAcentral describes it as "partial 28S-18S ribosomal RNA intergenic spacer". The stretch from base 1 to 79 matches the Rfam family "Eukaryotic large subunit ribosomal RNA", at positions 3320 to 3401 of the family's 3401-position model. The record is from RNAcentral. Lineage: Eukaryota; Fungi; Ascomycota; Sordariomycetes; Hypocreales; Nectriaceae.